UACGUAGGGUGCAAGCGUUAAUCGGAAUUACUGGGCGUAAAGCGUGCGCAGGCGGCUUUGCAAGACAGAUGUGAAAUCCCCGGGCUUAACCUGGGAACUGCAUUUGUGACUGCAUGGCUAGAGUGCGGCAGAGGGGGAUGGAAUUCCGCGUGUAGCAGUGAAAUGCGUAGAUAUGCGGAGGAACACCGAUGGCGAAGGCGAUCCCCUGGGCAUGCACUGACGCUCAUGCACGAAAGAGUGGGGAGCAAGCAGG
This 253-nucleotide ribosomal RNA is filed under the name uncultured bacterium. Its description in RNAcentral is "partial 16S ribosomal RNA". It matches the Rfam family "Bacterial small subunit ribosomal RNA", at positions 524 to 776 of the family's 1533-position model. The record is from RNAcentral.